GCACUCACCUAUCCACUAAACAGCAACUUCAAUGUUGAAAAAUCUUUCAACAUUGAAGUUGCUGUUUAGUGGAUAGGUGACUGC
Molecule: non-coding RNA, 84 nt
Organism: Pelobates cultripes (western spadefoot toad)
Lineage: Eukaryota; Metazoa; Chordata; Amphibia; Anura; Pelobatidae
Source: the annotation of a GenBank genome assembly